GUACGGAAGGCGCAGCAGUAGGGAAUGUUGCAUAAUGGGCGAAAGCCUGAUGCAGCAACGCCGCGUGUGCGAUGAAGGCCUUCGGGUUGUAAAGCACUUUUCGCAGGGAAGAGGAAGGACGGUACCUGCGGAAUAAGCGUCGGCUAACUACGUGCCAGCAGCCGCGGUAAAACGUAGGAGGCGAGCGUUAUCCGGAUUUACUGGGUGUAAAGCGCGUGCAGGCGGUUGGCUAAGUUGGGUGUGAAAGCUCCUGGCUCAACUGGGAGAGGUCGCUCAAGACUGGCCGACUGGAGAGCAGUAGGGGAAGGUGGAAUUCCGGGUGUAGUGGUGAAAUGCGUAGAUAUCCGGAGGAACACCAGUGGCGAAAGCGGCCUUCUGGACUGCAUCUGACGCUCAGACGCGAAAGCUAGGGGAGCAAACGGGAUUAGAUACCCUAGUAGUCG
RNAcentral lists this ribosomal RNA (443 nucleotides) under uncultured bacterium. RNAcentral describes it as "bacterial SSU rRNA". It matches the Rfam family "Bacterial small subunit ribosomal RNA", at positions 339 to 796 of the family's 1533-position model. The record is from RNAcentral.